Molecule: ribosomal RNA, 703 nt
Filed under: uncultured bacterium
Lineage: Bacteria
Description: bacterial SSU rRNA
Rfam family: Bacterial small subunit ribosomal RNA
Source: RNAcentral
AGAGUUUGAUCAUGGCUCAGGAUGAACGCUGGCGGCGUGCCUAAUACAUGCAAGUCGAACGCGAGACGAGGGAGCUUGCUCCCUCCGAUCGAGUGGCGGACGGGUGAGUAACACGUAGGCAACCUGCCCAUCAGCCGGGGAUAACUGCGGGAAACCGUGGCUAAUACCGGAUAAACCUUUCCUCCGCGGGGAGGGGAGUUGAAAGACGGUUUCGGCUGUCGCUGAUGGAUGGGCCUGCGGCGCAUUAGCUGGUUGGUGGGGUAACGGCCCACCAAGGCGACGAUGCGUAGCCGACCUGAGAGGGUGAUCGGCCACACUGGGACUGAGACACGGCCCAGACUCCUACGGGAGGCAGCAGUAGGGAAUCUUCCGCAAUGGACGCAAGUCUGACGGAGCAACGCCGCGUGAGUGAAGAAGGGUUUCGGCUCGUAAAACUCUGUUGUUAAGGAGGAAUGACAGGUAGAGUAACUGCUACCUGUGUGACGGUACUUAACCAGAAAGCCACGGCUAACUACGUGCCAGCAGCCGCGGUAAUACGUAGGUGGCAAGCGUUAUCCGGAAUUAUUGGGCGUAAAGCGCGCGUAGGCGGUCUUUUAAGUCUGAUGUGAAAGCCCCCGGCUCAACCGGGGAGGGUCAUUGGAAACUGGGAGACUUGAGUGCAGAGAAGAGAGUGGAAUCCAUGUGUACCGGUGAAAUGCGCAGA